GGUAGGAUGGCUGAGUAUAGGCGGUAAAUUGUAAAUUUAUUAACGAAAUUAUUUUUCUCCUACCA
RNAcentral lists this transfer RNA (65 nucleotides) under Anoplistes halodendri. RNAcentral's name for it is "tRNA-Tyr". Lineage: Eukaryota; Metazoa; Arthropoda; Insecta; Coleoptera; Cerambycidae. The record is from RNAcentral.